This 168-nucleotide ribosomal RNA is filed under the name Verrucomicrobiota bacterium. RNAcentral's name for it is "Verrucomicrobia bacterium partial 16S ribosomal RNA". It matches the Rfam family "Bacterial small subunit ribosomal RNA", at positions 1 to 157 of the family's 1533-position model. The record is from RNAcentral. Lineage: Bacteria; Pseudomonadati; Verrucomicrobiota.
UUUUAACGGAGAGUUUGAUUCUGGCUCAGAACGAACGCUGGCGGCGUGGAUAAGACAUGCAAGUCGAGCGAGAUUUUUUCUUGUAGCAAUACAGGGAAAAGUCUAGCGGCGAACGGGUGCUUAACACGUGGGCAAUCUGUCUUGAAGUGGGGGAUAGCUCGGCGAAAG